UUCGCAAUGCCCGAAAGGGUGACGAAGCGACGCCGCGUGCGGGAAGAAGGCCUUCGGGUUGUAAACCGCUGUCGGGAGUUAAGAAAUGCAGAGAUGUUAAUAGCGUCUUUGCUUGACUAAGGCUCCGGAGGAAGCCACGGCUAACUCUGUGCCAGCAGCCGCGGUAAUACAGAGGUGGCAAGCGUUGUUCGGUAUUAUUGGGCGUAAAGAGCACGUAGGUGGUUUUGUAAGUCAGAUGUGAAAGCCUUCUGUUCAACGGAAGAAUUGCAUCUGAAACUACAAACCUUGAGUGUAGGAGGGGAGAAUGGAACUUCUGGUGGAGCGGUGAAAUGCGUAGAUAUCAGAAGGAACGCCGGCGGCGAAAGCGAUUCUCUGGCCUAUUACUGACACUCAGUGUGCGAAAGCUAGGGGAGCAAACGGGAUUAGAUACCCCGGUAGUCCUAGCCGUAAACGAUGGGCACUAAGUAGAGGGGUUUU
RNAcentral lists this ribosomal RNA (477 nucleotides) under uncultured anaerobic ammonium-oxidizing bacterium. RNAcentral's name for it is "bacterial SSU rRNA". It matches the Rfam family "Bacterial small subunit ribosomal RNA", at positions 365 to 832 of the family's 1533-position model. The record is from RNAcentral.